UACGUAGGGUGCGAGCGUUGUCCGGAAUUAUUGGGCGUAAAGAGCUUGUAGGCGGUUUGUCGCGUCUGCUGUGAAAACUGGAGGCUCAACCUCCAGCCUGCAGUGGGUACGGGCAGACUAGAGUGGCGGUAGGGGAGAUUGGAAUUCCUGGUGUAGCGGUGGAAUGCGCAGAUAUCAGGAGGAACACCGAUGGCGAAGGCAGAUCUCUGGGCCGUAACUGACGCUGAGGAGCGAAAGCAUGGGGAGCGAACAGG
Molecule: ribosomal RNA, 254 nt
Filed under: uncultured bacterium
Lineage: Bacteria
Description: partial 16S ribosomal RNA
Rfam family: Bacterial small subunit ribosomal RNA
Source: RNAcentral